This is a small nucleolar RNA of Catharus ustulatus (Swainson's thrush), 132 nucleotides long. RefSeq annotates it as small nucleolar RNA SNORA1. The transcript has a single exon. Lineage: Eukaryota; Metazoa; Chordata; Aves; Passeriformes; Turdidae. The record is from RefSeq and is a predicted model, not a curated record.
UGCCUUGUUCUUCAGCAACUAGACACAACCUGCUGUGUGUCUGUAUUGGAAAACGGGGCUAGAAGAGUAACAGGUUCUGCUUUCCUCGCUGUACAUUUAAUUGCAGUGGUGACAAUGAGACCUGUAACAAGU